AACGAACGCUGGCGGCAUGCCUAACACAUGCAAGUCGAACGAUUGCCUUCGGGUGAUAGUGGCGCACGGGUGCGUAACGCGUGGGAAUCUGCCCUUUGGUUCGGAAUAACCGUUGGAAACGACGGCUAAUACCGGAUGAUGUCGAUAAGACCAAAGAUUUAGUCGCCAGAGGAUGAGCCCGCGUAGGAUUAGCUAGUUGGUGUGGUAAAGGCGCACAAAGGCGACGAUCCUUAGCUGGUCUGAGAGGAUGAUCAGCCACACUGGGACUGAGACACGGCCCAAACUCCUACGGGGGGCAGCAGUGGGGAUUAUUGGAAAAUGGGCGCAAGCCUGAUCCAGCAAUGCCGCGGGAGUGGUGAAGGCCUUAGGGUUGUAACGCUCUUUUCCCCGUGAUGAUAAUGACAGUAGCGGGAGAAUAAGCUCCGGCUAACUCCGUGCCAGCCGCCGCCGUAA
RNAcentral lists this ribosomal RNA (453 nucleotides) under uncultured bacterium. RNAcentral describes it as "partial 16S ribosomal RNA". It matches the Rfam family "Bacterial small subunit ribosomal RNA", at positions 29 to 523 of the family's 1533-position model. The record is from RNAcentral.